GGAAGCGUGCCCGAACAUUAAAGGGCUACUUUGAUAGAGUACAUCACAGGGGUGUAAAUCCCCUCACUUCCC
RNAcentral lists this transfer RNA (72 nucleotides) under Correlophus ciliatus (crested gecko). RNAcentral's name for it is "tRNA-Ile". Lineage: Eukaryota; Metazoa; Chordata; Lepidosauria; Squamata; Diplodactylidae. The record is from RNAcentral.